UUAACCGUAUAGGGGAGCCGGAGGGAAACCGAGUCUUAAUUGGGCGUUAAGUUGCAGGGUAUAGACCCGAAACCCGGUGAUCUAGCCAUGGGCAGGUUGAAGGUUGGGUAACACUAACUGGAGGACCGAACCGACUAAUGUUGAAAAAUUAGCGGAUGACCUGUGGCUGGGGGUGAAAGGCCAAUCAAACCGGGAGAUAGCUGGUUCUCCCCGAAAGCUAUUUAGGUAGCGCCUCGUGAAUUCAUCUCCGGGGGUAGAGCACUGUUUCGGCUAGGGGGCCAUCCCGGCUUACCAACCCGAUGCAAACUGCGAAUACCGGAGAAUGUUAUCACGGGAGACACACGGCGGGUGCUAACGUCCGUCGUGAAGAGGGAAACAACCCAGACCGCCAGCUAAGGUCCCAAAGUCAUGGUUAAGUGGGAAACGAUGUGGGAAGGCCCAGACAGCCAGGAUGUUGGCUUAGAAGCAGCCAUCAUUUAAAGAAAGCGUAAUAGCUCACUGGUCGAGUCGGCCUGCGCGGAAGAUGUAACGGGGCUAAACCAUGCACCGAAGCUGCGGCAGCGACGCUGAUGCGUUGUUGGGUAGGGGAGCGUUCUGUAAGCCUGUGAAGGUGGCCUGUGAGGGUUGCUGGAGGUAUCAGAAGUGCGAAUGCUGACAUAAGUAACGAUAAAGCGGGUGAAAAGCCCGCUCGCCGGAAGACCAAGGGUUCCUGUCCAACGUUAAUCGGGGCAGGGUGAGUCGACCCCUAAGGCGAGGCCGAAAGGCGUAGUCGAUGGGAAACGGGUUAAUAUUCCCGUACUUGGUGUUACUGCGAAGGGGGGACGGAGAAGGCUAUGUUGGCCGGGCGACGGUUGUCCCGGUUUAAGCGUGUAGGCUGGUUUUCCAGGCAAAUCCGGAAAAUCAAGGCUGAGGCGUGAUGACGAGGCACUACGGUGCUGAAGCAACAAAUGCCCUGCUUCCAGGAAAAGCCUCUAAGCAUCAGGUAACAUCAAAUCGUACCCCAAACCGACACAGGUGGUCAGGUAGAGAAUACCAAGGCGCUUGAGAGAACUCGGGUGAAGGAACUAGGCAAAAUGGUGCCGUAACUUCGGGAGAAGGCACGCUGACACGUAGGUGAAGUGAUUUACUCA
Molecule: ribosomal RNA, 1130 nt
Filed under: Salmonella enterica subsp. enterica serovar Kentucky
Lineage: Bacteria; Pseudomonadati; Pseudomonadota; Gammaproteobacteria; Enterobacterales; Enterobacteriaceae
Description: bacterial LSU rRNA
Rfam family: Bacterial large subunit ribosomal RNA
Source: RNAcentral